AUUGAACGCUGGCGGCAGGCCUAACACAUGCAAGUCGAGCGGAUGAAGGGAGCUUGCUCCUGGAUUCAGCGGCGGACGGGUGAGUAAUGCCUAGGAAUCUGCCUGGUAGUGGGGGAUAACGUCCGGAAACGGGCGCUAAUACCGCAUACGUCCUGAGGGAGAAAGUGGGGGGUCGUCGGACCUCACGCUAUGAGAUGAGCGGAGGUCGGAUUAGCUAGUUGGUGGGGUAGUGGCCUACCAAGGCGAUGAUCCGUAACUGGUCGGAGAGGAUGAUCAGUCACAUUGGGACUGAGGUACGGCCCAGACGCCUACGGGAGGCAGCAGUGGGGAAUAUGACACAGUGGGCGGAAGGCUGAGGCAGCAACGCCGCGAGCGGGAUGACGUCCUUCGGGUUGUAAACCGCUUUCGCCUGUGACGAAGCGUGAGUGACGGUAAGGGGUAAAGAAGCACCGGCUAACUACGUG
This 464-nucleotide ribosomal RNA is filed under the name uncultured bacterium. RNAcentral's name for it is "partial 16S ribosomal RNA". It matches the Rfam family "Bacterial small subunit ribosomal RNA", at positions 29 to 507 of the family's 1533-position model. The record is from RNAcentral.